Molecule: ribosomal RNA, 474 nt
Filed under: uncultured bacterium
Lineage: Bacteria
Description: bacterial SSU rRNA
Rfam family: Bacterial small subunit ribosomal RNA
Source: RNAcentral
UGAACGCUGGCGGAAUGCUUUACACAUGCAAGUCGGGCGGCAGCAUGGACUUCGGUCUGAUGGCGCGACGGGAGGACGGGAUAACGGAUGCAUCGAACGUACCCAGUCGUGGGGGAUAACGUAGCGAAAGUUACGCUAAUACCGCAUACGUCCUACGGGAGAAAGCAGGGGAUCGCAAGACCUUGCGCGAUUGGAGCGGCCGAUGUCUGAUUAGCUAGUUGGUGGGGUAAAGGCCCACCAAGGCGACGAUCAGUAGCGGGUCUGAGAGGAUGAUCCGCCACACUGGGACUGAGACACGGCCCAGACUCCUACGGGAGGCAGCAGUGGGGAAUAUUGGACAAUGGGCGAAAGCCUGAUCCAGCAAUGCCGCGUGAGUGAUGAAGGCCUUAGGGUUGUAAAGCUCUUUUACCAGGGAUGAUAAUGACAGUACCUGGAGAAUAAGCUCCGGCUAACUCCGUGCCAGCAGCCGCGGUA